AGCCGGGUCCCGCGCAACGACCAGCUGUGAACCCCGUCAGGCCCGGAAGGGAGCAGCGGUAACGGCGACGGCCGUGUGCCGCGGGGGUGCCUGGCUGUC
RNAcentral lists this signal recognition particle RNA (99 nucleotides) under Desulfuromonadales bacterium. Its description in RNAcentral is "signal recognition particle sRNA small type". It matches the Rfam family "Bacterial small signal recognition particle RNA". Rfam says of the family: The signal recognition particle (SRP) is a universally conserved ribonucleoprotein involved in the co-translational targeting of proteins to membranes. Lineage: Bacteria; Pseudomonadati; Thermodesulfobacteriota; Desulfuromonadia; Desulfuromonadales. The record is from RNAcentral.